GUCCAGCCCCGCGGUAAUACAUAGGGGUCAAGCGUUGUCCGGAUUUAUUGGGCGUAAAGAGCUCGUAGGCGGUUCUGUAAGUCGGAUGUGAAAACUCAGGGCUCAACCCUGAGACGCCAUCUGAUACUGCAGUGACUAGAGUCCGGUAGAGGAAGAUGGAAUUCCUGGUGUAGCGGUGGAAUGCGCAGAUAUCAGGAGGAACACCAAUGGCGAAGGCAGUCUUCUGGGCCGGCACUGACGCUGAGGAGCGAAAGCAUGGGGAGCAAACAGGAUUAGAUA
RNAcentral lists this ribosomal RNA (279 nucleotides) under uncultured bacterium. RNAcentral describes it as "partial 16S ribosomal RNA". It matches the Rfam family "Bacterial small subunit ribosomal RNA", at positions 506 to 784 of the family's 1533-position model. The record is from RNAcentral.